This 200-nucleotide long non-coding RNA is filed under the name Elaeis guineensis (African oil palm). RNAcentral describes it as "long non-coding RNA (EGUI_LNC017033)". The record is from RNAcentral. Lineage: Eukaryota; Viridiplantae; Streptophyta; Magnoliopsida; Arecales; Arecaceae.
GGUUCAGGGCGUGAUAAGAUCUAACAAAAAAAAUGUAAACAACUUGAAAUUCAUCUUAUAUGCCGUCGAAUUGGCAACUAGUUUGAGAAUCAACUUCUAGAAAUCCCAGCUGAUUGGACUUGGAAUCAGUGACCAACUUGGGCACUUGUGUGGUGAAAUGCUUGGCUGUCAGGUAUCUCACUUACCCAUCCAGUACCUUG